Molecule: unclassified non-coding RNA, 374 nt
Filed under: soil metagenome
Description: partial contains internal transcribed spacer 2 and large subunit ribosomal RNA
Rfam family: 5.8S ribosomal RNA (bases 1-120)
Source: RNAcentral
GAUGAAGAACGCAGCGAAAUGCGAUAAUUAAUGUGAAUUGCAGAAUUCCGUGAAUCAUCGAGUCUUUGAACACACAUUGCGCCUCACGGCAUUCCGUGAGGCAUGCCCAUCUCAGCGUUAGAAAAUAUUCUCAAAUUUUAGUUUUGUGCUAAAAUUUGGAUCAUGUCAAGGAAGCUAUUACUAUUAUUGUGAUCGCUCUUUGGAAAUUGAUAGGUCUUUGAGUUGCUACUCAUAGAACGUGAUGAAUCUUUCUUCGUUCUAUUGUAAUUCACUCUGGUAGUCCUAAAACUUGUAUGCCUGUGGCAUAUCUUGUAAUUUGACCUGAGAUUGGGUAGGGAUACCCGCUGAACUUAAGCAUAUCAAUAAGCGGAGGA